GGAAAUUUCUUGGCUGUUGGAGGUGAAACUCUGAAUAUUUGGGAAAUACAUCCAGAAGGAAGUGGCUGGGAUAUGACUCAUGCAGCCCUCUGAACCCCGAUGGGGAUCAACAAACAUACUGAAGGGUAUUGAGCUGGGCUGGUCCAUAGCAUAAAUGGAACCAUGAGUCCUGGAAAUGAUGCUGCCUUUCUUACCAGAGCACUACGUGAGUCUCCAGCAUCCCCCAACAUCUACCCAGGAGCAUCCGUGCCGUGCCGUGUACCAAUCACAGGGACCUUCAUUCCAACAGUUGUGCAACAUCCCAUUGUCUAGGAUGUUUUCUUCCCUUGGGUUGACCAUGACAGUGGCUGUGAAGACACCUCCUACUUCUCUUCCAUUGAAAACUGCUUGCUAUAAUCUGCACGCUUAAAAGUGGAUAUCCCUAAUGAUGUCAACUUGAAACUCCCGUUGCAUUUUUUUUUUUAUUAUUUCAUUACAGUACUG
This 483-nucleotide long non-coding RNA is filed under the name Cricetulus griseus (Chinese hamster). Its description in RNAcentral is "lncRNA (ENSCGRG00015038513.1)". The record is from RNAcentral. Lineage: Eukaryota; Metazoa; Chordata; Mammalia; Rodentia; Cricetidae.